This 233-nucleotide long non-coding RNA is filed under the name Citrus x clementina. RNAcentral describes it as "Citrus clementina (C. clementina) long non-coding RNA (CCLE_LNC004522)". The record is from RNAcentral. Lineage: Eukaryota; Viridiplantae; Streptophyta; Magnoliopsida; Sapindales; Rutaceae.
UCCACGAAUUGAUUACGACGGGCUACAACUAUCGACGGGGCAGACAGAGAAAGAGAAACCCAACGAGAUGCAUGAGAGAGACCCACGACAAGAGAAAGCCGAAGGAGAGAGCAGCGAGAUGCGCGAGAGGCCGGAUGGGAGAGACCCACGGCGAGAGAGAGAGCCACGGCCGAAGAGAGACCCACGACGAGAGAGAGAAAGAGAGAAAACCGAAGGAGAGAGUAGUGAGAUGC